This 253-nucleotide ribosomal RNA is filed under the name uncultured bacterium. Its description in RNAcentral is "partial 16S ribosomal RNA". It matches the Rfam family "Bacterial small subunit ribosomal RNA", at positions 524 to 776 of the family's 1533-position model. The record is from RNAcentral.
UACGAAGGGUGCAAGCGUUGCUCGGAAUUACUGGGCGUAAAGAGUAUGUAGGCUGUUCUGUAAGUUGAGAGUGAAAUCCCAAGGCUUAACCUUGGAGUGGCUUUCAAGACUGCAGGGCUAGAGUAAGGUAGAGGAUAGCGGAAUUCCUAGUGUAGAGGUGGAAUUCGUAGAUAUUAGGAGGAACACCAGGGGCGAAGGCGGCUAUCUGGGCCUUUACUGACGCUGAGAUACGAAAGUGUGGGGAGCAAACAGG